UCUUCUACCUUAAACCCUGAUUAGAUUUCACAGUACACGACUAGCCAUAGGCCUGUAAGGCGCAUUGCUCCCUCCAAACAUCCUCCAAAUUAACUCAGAGAAUUCAUUUCCUUUUCAGUUACCCACUCGGUCCAAUGCAAGCGCUCUCAAAAUCGCGCAAGCUCGCUAGGGUUUUGAAACCCCCAAUUAUCGGCGACACCAAUCACGGAGCUCUUCCUUCUCUUUCUCAAAUCCUUCAUUCUCCUCAAUGGCAAGGCCAAGAAGCUUUCUUUUCUCAAAUUUCGUUCUUUUCAGGCUUUAGUCAAGGCAGUUAUGUCCAGAUACCAUCUGUGCCGGUUUAUUCAAUGACAUGGGGGGCGUCUUUUUCUACGAAAGCAGGAAGUGCUGAGAGCAGUCCAACAGAGGCUGUGAAGGAACUAUAUGAUAAAAUGCUGGAAUCUGUAAAUGUUAAGCGAUCAAUGCCCCCAAAUGCCUGGUUGUGGUCACUGAUUGAAAAUUGUCAGAAUCAAGAUGAUAUUGAACUUUUAUUUGACAUUUUGCAGAAUCUUCGAAGAUUUAGAUUGUCAAAUCUUCACAUUCAUGCCAAUUUUAAUUGCAAUCUUUGCAGAGAAAUUGCUAAGACAUGUGUUCGUGUUGGGGCCCUUGACUUUGGAAAGAAAACUUUGUGCAAACAUAACGUAUAUGGAUUGAGUCCUAGUAUUGGUUCGGCCCACCAUUUACUGUCAUAUGCUCAAGAUCACAAGGAUUUAGAGCUCAUGGUUGAAAUUCUAAAACUAGUGACGAGGAAUGGUUUACCAUUACAACCUGGCACGGCUGAUAUUGUUUUUAGGAUUUGUUACGAUCUGAAUAAUUGGGAGUUGCUGACCAAGUAUUCAAAAAGGUUUGCAAAAGCUGGAGUUAAAUUUCGGAAAACGACAUUUGACACAUGGAUGACAUUUGCUGCCAAAAUAGGAGACAAUAAGUCAUUAUGGGAAAUUGAGAAGAAGAGAUUCGAGUCUUUCAAGCAUCACACUCUUGCUAGUGGAUUUUCAUGUGUGAAGGGUCUUCUACUUGAACACAAGCCUGAGGAUGCUGCUGCUGUUAUUGAAGUCCUUAAUCAGACUCUACCCGAUGAGAAGAAGUCAGUUAUCAUGGUCGAACUUCAGAAGUUGGUAAAUGAAUGGCCUUUGGAUGUUGUUAAACACCAAAUGGGGGACGAUAAGGGAUUGGCUGCUGCUUUGAACACUGAUGUUACUACCAUGGUUACCCAUCUUCAAAAGACUGGAUUAGGUGCUCCUUUGAAAGACACUAUUCCUAUCUAAUGUGGGAGGCUGCAUGAGCAUUUAUUGGUACCUUUCUCACUUGAAGCAAGGCUAUUAUUGACUGAAAGAUUUGCUCCCACAUCUUCAGCCUUGUGUUUAUGAAGAUGGUGAAGACUUGUGCAGUGCGCCAACACUGUCGAAUUGGUGAUUGAAUCUCGGAAAAAAAGACUACAUUGCUGGAUAUAGUUACAUCGAUUGAGGAGUUUGGAUUUGAGUACAUCUAGCAUCCUCCCAUUUAGUUCAGAUGGAAUUCUUUGACUUAUUCAGUCUUGUUAUCUCCCCUUUUAGGCAUCUAAUAUGCAUGCAAGACUUUCACUCAAUGUAUUGUAGCCUUACAAAAUAAAGAGCAAACCAGGUGAUCUGUCAACUUGGAAUCAAAGCUAAAGAAACCUAUAACUGUUGAUAGAGAAAUUAUGAAAAAAUGGGAUGAUCAUCAUGUUAACUGAUUGCUUUAA
This is an RNA transcript of Carica papaya (papaya), 1756 nucleotides long. It is a transcript of the gene named adenylyl cyclase, with no coding region annotated. Lineage: Eukaryota; Viridiplantae; Streptophyta; Magnoliopsida; Brassicales; Caricaceae. The record is from RefSeq and is a predicted model, not a curated record.